RNAcentral lists this ribosomal RNA (440 nucleotides) under uncultured bacterium. Its description in RNAcentral is "partial 16S ribosomal RNA". It matches the Rfam family "Bacterial small subunit ribosomal RNA", at positions 338 to 795 of the family's 1533-position model. The record is from RNAcentral.
CCUACGGGGGGCAGCAGUGGGGGAUAUUGCACAAUGGGGGGAACCCUGAUGCAGCGACGCCGCGUGGGUGAAGAAGCGCCUCGGCGCGUAAAGCUCUGUCAGCAGGGAAGAAAAUGACGGUACCUGAAGAAGAAGCCCCGGCUAACUACGGGCCAGCAGCCGCGGUAAUACGGAGGGGGCAAGCGUUAUCCGGAUUUACUGGGGGUAAAGGGGGCGCAGACGGCGAUGCAAGCCAGGAGUGAAAGCCCGGGGCCCAACCCCGGGACUGCACUUGGAACUGGGUGGCUGCAGUGCAGGAGGGGCAGGCGGAAUUCGUGGUGUAGCGGUGAAAUGCGUAGAUAUCAGGAAGAACACCGAUGGCGAAGGCAGCCUGCUGGACUGCAACUGACGUUGAGGCCCGAAAGCGUGGGGAGCAAACAGGAUUAGAUACCCUGGUAGUC